Molecule: transfer RNA, 72 nt
Filed under: Gloeobacter violaceus PCC 7421
Lineage: Bacteria; Bacillati; Cyanobacteriota; Cyanophyceae; Gloeobacterales; Gloeobacteraceae
Description: tRNA-Arg (CCT) (tRNA-Arg-CCT-1-1)
Rfam family: tRNA
About the family: Transfer RNA (tRNA) molecules are approximately 80 nucleotides in length. Their secondary structure includes four short double-helical elements and three loops (D, anti-codon, and T loops).
Source: Rfam by way of RNAcentral
GCCCCCGUAGCUCAGGGGAUAGAGCAUCGGGUUCCUAACCUGUGUGCGAUGGUUCGAGUCCAUCCGGGGGCG